RNAcentral lists this unclassified non-coding RNA (423 nucleotides) under uncultured Laccaria. RNAcentral describes it as "sequence contains ITS2". The stretch from base 1 to 154 matches the Rfam family "5.8S ribosomal RNA". Lineage: Eukaryota; Fungi; Basidiomycota; Agaricomycetes; Agaricales; Tricholomataceae. The record is from RNAcentral.
AACUUUCAACAACGGAUCUCUUGGCUCUCGCAUCGAUGAAGAACGCAGCGAAAUGCGAUAAGCAAUGUGAAUUGCAGAAUUCAGUGAAUCAUCGAAUCUUUGAACGCACCUUGCGCUCCUUGGUAUUCCGAGGAGCAUGCCUGUUUGAGUGUCAUUAAAUUCUCAACCUUCCAACUUUUAUUAGUUUGGAUAUGCUUGGAUGUGGGGGUUGCAGGCUUCAUCAAUGAGGUCAGCUCUUCUUAACUGCAUCAGCGGAAAUUUUGUGGACUGUCUGUUGAUGUGAUACAUAUCUACGCAUUGGAUGAGAAACCGCUUUAUCAAUUUCAGCUUCUAAUCAUCCAUUGACUUGGACAAUUUUGACAAUUUGACCACAAAUCAGGUAGGACUACCCGCUGAACUUAAGCAUCUCAAUAAGCGGAGGCU